RNAcentral lists this ribosomal RNA (253 nucleotides) under uncultured bacterium. RNAcentral's name for it is "partial 16S ribosomal RNA". It matches the Rfam family "Bacterial small subunit ribosomal RNA", at positions 524 to 776 of the family's 1533-position model. The record is from RNAcentral.
UACAGGGGUCUCGAGCGUUAAUCGGAAUCACUGGGCUUAAAGGGUGCGUAGGCGGAUCUGUAAGUGUCCUGUGAAAGCCCCCGGCUCAACCGGGGAACCGCGGGGCAAACUGCAGAUCUUGAGGAAGCUAGAGGCCGGUAGAACGAUUGGUGGAGCGGUGGAAUGCGUAGAUAUCAAUCGGAAUGCCUAAAGUGAAGACAGCCGGCUGGGGCUUUCCUGACGCUGAGGCACGAAAGCGUGGGGAGCAAACAGG